CGAGGUGGGUGCGAAUUUCUAAAAAAAAAAAAGAGGCGCCCGGACUGGACCAUUUCCACCAUCCAUUAUAUGGAGAUUACAUCUCCACCGUUCAUUCCUAACACAUAUCUACUCUCUUUCGGUCUCUCAUCUCUCGAAUUGUCAGUUCGUUCUCUCAUAUCUUGAAUUCCCAACUCGAGCCUCGAGGUCUUCAUCUCUCAACUCCAACUACCAUCUUUUAUGUCGUGACAUUGUUUUCUUUGUCAGUCUGUACGUUAUGUUCGCCGCAAGACUUCAGCAGAGCUCUGGUAAAGAUGACCAAAAAGGACGAGGACAUCACCGCCUCUCUCGACGACUUCAUAGAGAAAGAUAUCGACAUCCUCGGUAAGUAAAAGAAGAAGUUUGAAGGGUCGAAGCUUACCAGUUGUUAGCCGCGCCUCGGUAUGUGAUUUGAGGCUCAAAUUUAUGUAAUUUAAAGCAAAAUAAGUGCUUUUAGGAAAUCUGCUUAUGGGUAUGUAUGAUUUUGUUUUGAUUCAUCAAUUGGUGUAAUUUGUAAUGGCAAGGGUGGAGGUUUUGGAUCCAUGAGGAAGACGACGUCUUUCUAGAUUGAUAUGCGUGUUAGGUUAGCGGCUGCUGGUGUGGUUGGGCUCAAGCACAAAUUGCAGAUCUUGUUAGACCCGUGAACUCAGCCCGAAUCAGCCCAUUUCAAACGGGCCAGGUUAAGUCUGAUUCCAAAUUUAUAAGUUUCAUUACUCGCCCCGCUCCACUUUGUUUCAUUUUAAAAUGGGUCCAGUCUGGUCCCUCCAAAUUUGGGCCUUAGUGUGUCAUUUACUAUAUUGCUCAUAAUUUUAUUUUAGUUAGGGGUGUGAUAUCCACACACCCCUUUUUACUUCUCACACACCCUUUAUUUAUUUCUAUCAUUUGAUAUUUUUCAAUUCAUAUGAUCCAAUGACUGGAAAUUAAAAGGGUGUAUGAAAAGUAAAAAUGGGUGUGUGAGAAGUAGGCCUGGUAAUUCCUGACACGACCCGAUAACCCGACACGACACGACACGAAAUUAACAGGUGUUCGGGUCGACACAAUAACGAAUCGGGUGGUUAUCGGGUAACCUGAUAAGCACCUGUUAAGAUAACAGGUUGAUUCGGGUAUACACGUGGGUAACACGAUACACGAUAAGCAGAAUAUUAAUUUUAUAACCCUAAAAAAAUAUUGUAAUAAUUAUAUAUAUUAAUUUAACAAUUUUAUACCCCUAAAAACUAUAAUAUAUAUAUAUAUAUAUAUAUUAAAUUAACUAUAAUAAUUAUAAUAAUUAUACAUACUAUAAUAAUUAUACCCCAAAAUAUUAACUAUCUAUAAUAAUUAUAUAUAUAUGUAUAGAUUAAAUUUUGAAUUAUAAAAACUAUAAUAAUUAUUAAUUAAUAUGUAUGCAUCCAUUGAUUUGAAUUUUGAUUCCAUAAUUGAUCCAUUCCAUUCCCUGCUGCAGUGCCACCCUUUUUGAAGAAAAAGGGAGGGAAAAUGAAAAUGAUAAGAAAAGUUGAAAAGGAAACAAAAAAGAGAGGGAAUUAGGGAAAGAUGGAUGGAUAGGGUGGAGGGAAAAGUGAAAAUUAUAUGAAAAGUUGAAAAUGAAACAAAAAAGAGAGGGAAAAAUGAAAAUUAAUAGAAGUGCAGUGGUGAGAAUAUUUUUUUUUUAAGUUAUUAACUUUUUAUCGCACAUGAUAUAUCCCACUAUUUUUAUAAUGACACGUGAUGUACUACUCUGUGUACCAGUCAAUUAUACAUACAAAAUAAAUAGAUUUAAAUCUACUUUAUAUAUAUAUACACACACACACACACAUACACCAUUGAACUUGAUGGGAUACGAAUUCUCCGAAACAAAUUUCAACGAUCACAACCGUCAAACUUGUUUGUAUAUGCUUCGAGAUCACAUCACCAAAAAAUCACAAAAAACAAACAUUCAGAGAUCAAGUAAUGAGACAAAUCUUUUCGACGGUUAUAAACGAAAAAUCACGAUUUAACGGUUAUUUUAACUCCGAUUUUGAUGAUUUUUUACAGCUACACUCCUUGACCCUAUAUGAAUACAAUGAAUGAAUUUGAUCUUCAAUUUAAAAUAUUUACACAAGUGGAUACCAUAAAAUCUUAUGUUAUACUUGAUGAAAGUAUAAAUAAAGUCUAAGUGUUAGUCAAUCUAUUGUUUUGAUGGGAUACAAAUUCUCCGAAACUAAUUUCAACGAUCCCAACCGUCAAACUUGUUUGUAUAUGCUUCGAGAUCACAUCACCAAAAAAUCACAAAAAACAAACAUUUAGAGAUCAAGUAACGGGACAAAGCUUUUUGACGAUUAUAAACGAAAAAUCAUGAUUUAACGGUUAUUUUAACACCGAUUUUGAUGAUUUUUUACAGCUACAGUCCUUGACCCUAUGUGAAUAUAAUGAAUGAAUUCGAUCUUCAAUUUAAAAUAUUUACACAAGUGGAUAACACAAAAUCUUAUGUUAUACUUAAUGAAAGUAUAAAUAAACUCUAAGUGUUAGUCAAUCUAUUGUUUUGAUGGGAUACGAAUUAUCCGAAACUAAUUUCAACGAUCCCAACCGUUAAACUUGUUUGUAUAUGCUUCGAGAUCACAUAAGCAAAAAAUCACAAAAAACAAACAUUCAAAGAUCAAGUAACGGAACAAAACUUUUCAACGGUUAUAAACGAAAAAUCACGAUUUAACGGUUAUUUUAACUCCGAUUUUGAUGAUUUUUUACAGCUACAGUCCUUGACCGUAUAUGAAUACAAAGAAUGAAUUCGAUCUUCAAUUUAAAAUAUUUACACUAGUGGAUGUGGAUAUCACAAAAUCUUAUGUUAUAUACUUAAUAAAAGUAUGAAUCAACUAUAAUAAUUAUAUAUAUUAAUUUAACAAUUUUAUACCCCUAAAAACUAUAGUAAUUAUAUAAAUAUUAAUAUAUAUAUUAAAUUAAAUUUAAAAAAUUGAUGACCAUUUGGAUCGGCUGAGAUUUAAUCUUUUGAGAAAGACUUACAACCUUGAAAACAAAAACUCUUUCAUUUUGCAUAUCCUUGCACAUUUAAUAUUUGUAAUAGAUUAGUAGUGUAUGUAUUAUUUUUUUAUUAGGCUCUUAUUUUCGAGUGUAGUUAUAGUACUUAAAUGACAAAUGUUUUAAUGUUUUGAAGUAAUAUUUAUGUGGCAAUAUGUGGUAUGUGCAAAUUUAAAAAAAAAAAUAUAUUUUUCUUAACGGGUCAUAACGGGUCAGGUCACUUUACCCGUUAGGUAAAGUGACACGACCUGUUAAGGACCCAUUAAGAUAACGGGUGUGACGACACGACCCGUUAAGAUAAUAGGUGUUACAUGAAAACGACACGAAUACGACAGACACGACCCGUUUGCCAAGCCUAGUGAGAAGUAAAAAGGUCCACACACCCCUUUAGUUAUUGUUGUUUAGUUUUGUUGAUAGGGCUAAAAUGAUCUUUUAACCCUUGACAAAGAGGGUUAUUUUGUUAUUGUUAUAAAUAUAGGUGUCCAUUAUUUAAUUUGAGUGGAUGACAUUAUGUCUGUGCAAGUAAUGACAUCAUGCAUAUGUAAACAAUGAUGUCAUGACCUAUUCAUUUGCCUAUAUAAUGAAGGCCAAGGCCACUAACAAAUAAGAGAAACAUACGGAGGAAAUGAAAGAAAAGAGGAAAGAAAGAGAGAAAAGAAAGAAGAGAUAUGCAUGAGAAAUACCAGUGAGCCAAGCUAGAGAGAAGAGGAAAAAUAGUGAGAAUUAUUUUGUAUUCCUAUUAUUUCAAAUAAUGAAAGAAAAUACUACUGGCAUCCAAAUGAUGUAGACAUACUUGUCGAACUUCAUAAAUAUUGUGUUUUAUUUACUAUAUCCAACUGCACACAUAUCCUCAAUUUUAAACAGUUUUUGAUUUUUGAUUUUAUUUCUUUUUGUCAAAUUGCCUUUUUUAAAAAAUUUGAAACUCGUUUCAUUUUUUAGUUUUAAAAAUGUGAAAACUGAAAAUAAAAAAGUAAUCCUAGUAAGUAAAUUACUUAUAGGAUUCUAUAAUAUAUUUUAUUGUAAUUGUAUUCCUUGGGGAGUAAGAUUUUUUCUCCCUUAUCACUAUAAAUAGAGGCACAACAAGGUUAAACACCAUACUAUAGAAUCACCAAAUUCUCUCUUCUAAUUAUCCUUGCCGUCGUCAAUCUCCCUCUUGUUGGGCCAUAAUUGUCCAGGGCAGGAGUGAGGCGGAUCAAAAUACGCAUACCUUAGAAGUCCGGUCAUAGACUCGACAGCCUCCGAUGUAGAGCUGAAUAAACGGAGCAGGGAUGACACCAUCAUCCUAUUCUGGAAUCAGUAGACAAAGUCUGACGACUUUGCUAAGAUUUAUCAUGCUUAUUCUGCAAGAUACGAAAACUUAAUCCAACAAGGAAUCAACAGGUUUCGUAUAAUCUUGGAGUUCUUACAAUCUAAGGAUUGACAUGUGUGACAUCCCACAUCGCCCAUGGGAGUGGAUCUUGUAAGCCUUAUAUGUAUAUUUCCAUCUCUUCGUAACACGAGGCUUUUUAGGAGCUCAUUGGCUUCGGGUUCCAUCGGAAUUCCGAAGUUAAGCUAGUUCGCGAAAGAGCAAUCCCAUGAUGGGUGACCGACUGGGAAGUUCUCGUGUGAGUUUCUAGAAACAAAACCAUGAGGGCGUGGUCGGGGCCCAAAGCGGACAAUAUCGUGUUACGACGGAGUCAAGCCCGGGAUGUGGUGGGAGCUAGGGCUAGGAUGUGACAACAUGCACCGUAAGUAAUCACAUUCGUAAAAUGAUGCAAUAUCUACUUCUUAGAUAUCUUUUGUGAUUCUCUCGGUUUGAUAAUGAUUAUAUUAUCCUAAAAUAUGCAUCUCUGCUCCCAAAAUUAUCGCAUACUUAUUAUAUUGCUUAUUGCUUAAGUCUUAUAUUGCUUACUAACUUGAUCGUUGGAGAGCCUUUGAUUAGCAUACACCACCUCCCCCCUCCCCAUGCCCCGAUUAUACUUGUUCACAGUAAUUUGUUCUUUUAUAGUUUAGUUGGAUUUGUGCAUCUUUACCGCUUACAGCGGUGUGAAUUUGGUUCCAACAAUUGGUGUUUUCAUUGAGAGUGAAAAUCAUAUUCCUCUUGACCAACUCAAUCUAUCACAGACAUGAACACAUAAGAAAGCUUUAUUAAAUCCAACACUAACAAGGUGACCGAUGACAACCUUGCCCCUGAUGUCUCAAUCCCAUCCAUUGAGAAUAAUCUUGUUGUCGACACCACCAACACUCUAGGGGCAAGCAAUCAAACCCUUCAUGCUCUAGCCACCCCAAAGGGCGGCGAUGCUUUGCCUAUUGGACCUCCCAAUAUGAGGCAUGUAUGAGAUACUUUACCAAAGAUCGACGCUUCUGUUGAUAAGUUGCAGCAUGCCUAUACUACUUUUCGGGUGAUGUCCUUCGUGGACGUCAAGAAGAGAAUGAAGGCUCUCAAAAGAUCCAGUAGGACCUUCCCACAAACUCAAAUUCCUAUUUUCGAUUAUAGCAACAUAAGUACCAUAACCCCAGAUGAAUAACUCAUCGAGCCAACUUAUACUCCAACUUUAGCAGACAUCACUAAUCCGAGUACAAACCCGCUUCAUAAUGAUCAAACUGCCAAUAACACUGCUCCAAACGGGACAAAGGUUCUACACAACCCUGGUCCCUUGGCUGUUGCAAGAGUGCACCGGAUGGAACCACGACACUGAGCUUUAACGACCCAAAGUCUUCAGAGGAGCCAAAGAGAUGUCGACUCGAUAACCACGACAUGACUAGAGAUGCCCCAAGGAAAACUCCACUUCGUAUCCCUGGUUGGACUGUCGUGAAAGUGAAAAGCACACUCUCUUCAACAAUCGAAUAUCCGCCUUCGCCUUAUAAGUUUUCUCAACCUCAAUUUAAGUACUUCUGCGGUGACACUGAUCCGGAUUACCACAUCAUGCACUAUAUGAGCGUCAUGGCGUUAUACAGCAACAACGACAUUUGGAUGUAGAAGAUGUUCUCCUCUAUCCUAGAGGGGACCGUCAUGAGGUGGUUCUCAGAGUUAUUAACUCGUUUGAUUGAUUGCUUCAAAAAUUUGGUCAACAUCUUCACCAACACCUAUUUGGUGUACUAUGAUGUCCAAAAGCAACACAAGGCCAUAUUCAUCAUGGUAGCUCAAAGCAAGGACAAAAUUCUUAAAGCUUACCUGAAGUGGUUCCACGCGAAAUCGGCUAAGGUAGAAAGGCUUGACGACAUACUUGCCAUCAUGGCUUACAAGUAAGGACUCUAUUUCAACUCGCCCUUCUCCUAGAAGCUGAACAAGAGGAAGUACGACUAUGCCACCCUAGCAGAAUGUUUGACCUCACUAACUGGGACAACAAAACCAAAAGGAAGGUUCCUUAUCAGGACCGCAGUAGGAAGCUCAAACGAAAAAGAGAAGACUAGAGCAAUCCACCUCUAUCUUCCCGUCAACAUGACAUGAGGGGACGAAAAAUAAAUCAGCUCCACUUAGAUUGAGGCAAUAUACUGACCUGCACACAAUCAUCAACAACAUUCUUCACAGCAUCAAGGACAAACCCUUCCUCGAACAGUUGGAACAUCUUCCUGAACAUCUGGUAAAUAAAAGCCAAAAGAGUAUUGCUCAUUCCACCAAUGCAUAAGCCCAUUCGAAAUUGACAAACGCUCAGAGACCACAUCGAGGAAAUCAUUAACCAAUGACACUGUUGGGAGUUUGUAAGAAGCAAGGCAAGGAAAGAAAAAGCCCCCCGAAGAAAAGGACAAAGGUGAAUCCGACAGGUACGACCUGACUGAUGACAAGGAUGACAAGAGGUCAUCAAAGAAGCUCACUCUCAACUUAGGAUUGCAGAGAGAGUGCCGUAGGUUUGAAUAGCAUCCAUCGCCUACUAUUGUGAGAGGCGCGUGUGCAUUGAGUUCUAGAUCACUACCUUUGAAUUUAUACUGCACCCCCUUGACAGUACCUUUUUCUUCCAGUAGAGAUGUCACCAUUCCUUGUUCCAAUCUUACAUUGAUGUCGAAAUUUAAGAAAUGACACACAAAUGAGACUCUAGAAGAGUAUGCAAAUCUCCUUCAUGAUGAAUCUCACAUACCAUGUAUUAUCCGAUAUCGUAUAGAUUCUUGUUAAAUACAUGGUUAAGUUUUCACAGUCUGACAACAUAGCAUGACAAACUUUCAAGCAAAGAGAAUAUAUUAAAGAUCCACUGCAAUAUGUAAUCAAAGGAUCUAUCUUUGCAUAGCAAAUACAGACCAAACGUCAAAUUAUAACAGAUACUUUAAAUAGAUGACUGAAGCGGAGGGAAAAGACCUCUAAAACUUUGAAUUAUACAACACAUGGCGAGCCUACUGAAAAAAGAAUACUAUGAAAUGUGUUUGAAGGGAAAUGAAGAGUACUUGGGAAGAGAUGAAGCUUUUUCCCGCAUCCUUUGAAUGAAACGCCCGUGGUGAAAGCUUCUCCCAGCCCACAUCAGGAUGGAAGUUUUCCAAAGGAUAUGGCAGCUUGGUACUUUUUCCAUCCUUGUAAAGAGCAUAUCCGAAAACCCGUUGAGCAUCAAUCUCAUUUACACAAUCUUCAACCAAACAGAAAUAUUAACAAUUAUGUAGUUGUCUAACUCAUAGUGGAAAUAAAUGAGGAGAACAGUUAUGGAACAUUCAUAUAAGUCCUCAGGUUUAUACUUCUUUACUUCUUUGCUUAUCCUCAAGGCCUAACUCAACUAAUCUGAGAUAUCCCCCUGGUUGCAGCAGCUCGCCGACGAUUCUGUCUGGCUCACUCAAGUCCCUUUCAACCACAUGCACUCGGCGCCCAUCCUGCUGUAUGCAGACAUUGUAAACAAAACAUAGCAAUAGUAAGAAGACAAGACAUGAUAACUUAGAUUUGUGCAAAUUGUAAAUAUUAUGAUCCUGAUGUUACUAAAUACAAUGUAACAAAAAUAUAUGAAAGGAUUUUCC
RNAcentral lists this long non-coding RNA (7917 nucleotides) under Malus domestica (apple). Lineage: Eukaryota; Viridiplantae; Streptophyta; Magnoliopsida; Rosales; Rosaceae. The record is from RNAcentral.